UACGUAGGGUGCAGGCGUUAAUCGGAAUUACUGGGCGUAAAGCGUGCGCAGGCGGUUUGCUAAGACAGGUGUGAAAUCCCCGGGCUUAACCGUGGAACUGCUUGGCAUACUGGCGGUCUUGAGCCACUUAGGGGCAACCGGAACAAAUGGUGGAGCGGUGAAAUGCGUAGAUAUCAUUUGGAACGCCAAUGGUGAAAACAGGUUGCUGGGAGUGUGCUGACGCUGAGACACGAAAGCCAGGGGAGCGAACGGG
RNAcentral lists this ribosomal RNA (253 nucleotides) under uncultured bacterium. RNAcentral describes it as "partial 16S ribosomal RNA". It matches the Rfam family "Bacterial small subunit ribosomal RNA", at positions 524 to 776 of the family's 1533-position model. The record is from RNAcentral.